RNAcentral lists this microRNA precursor (59 nucleotides) under Eisenia fetida (common brandling worm). RNAcentral's name for it is "Efe-Mir-29-P1i_pre stem-loop". Lineage: Eukaryota; Metazoa; Annelida; Clitellata; Crassiclitellata; Lumbricidae. The record is from RNAcentral.
CUGGUUGCAGUUGGUGCAUAGAUGUCUAGGAGUAUUCUAGCACCAGUUGAAAUCAGUGU